This 348-nucleotide unclassified non-coding RNA is filed under the name soil metagenome. RNAcentral's name for it is "partial contains 5.8S ribosomal RNA, internal transcribed spacer 2, and large subunit ribosomal RNA". The stretch from base 1 to 120 matches the Rfam family "5.8S ribosomal RNA", at positions 35 to 154 of the family's 154-position model. The record is from RNAcentral.
GAUGAAGAACGUAGCGAAAUGCGAUAAGUAAUGUGAAUUGCAGAAUUCAGUGAAUCAUCGAAUCUUUGAACGCACAUUGCGCCCGCCAGUAUUCUGGCGGGCAUGCCUGUCUGAGCGUCAUUUCAACCCUCAUGCCCCUAGGGCGUGGUGUUGGGGAUCGGCCAAAGCCCGCGAAGGACGGCCGGCCCCUAAAUCUAGUGGCGGACCCGUCGUGGCCUCCUCUGCGAAGUAGUGAUAUUCCGCAUCGGAGAGCGAUGAGCCCCUGCCGUUAAACCCCCAACUUUCCAAGGUUGACCUCAGAUCAGGUAGGAAUACCCGCUGAACUUAAGCAUAUCAAUAAGCGGAGGA